RNAcentral lists this ribosomal RNA (253 nucleotides) under uncultured prokaryote. RNAcentral describes it as "partial 16S ribosomal RNA". It matches the Rfam family "Bacterial small subunit ribosomal RNA", at positions 524 to 776 of the family's 1533-position model. The record is from RNAcentral.
UACGAAGGGGGCUAGCGUUGCUCGGAAUUACUGGGCGUAAAGGGAGCGUAGGCGGAUAGUUAAGUUGGGGGUGAAAGCCCGGGGCUCAACCUCGGAAUUGCCUUCAAUACUGGCUAUCUUGAGUAUGGGAGAGGUGUGUGGAACUCCGAGUGUAGAGGUGAAAUUCGUAGAUAUUCGGAAGAACACCAGUGGCGAAGGCGACACACUGGCCCAUUACUGACGCUGAGGCUCGAAAGCGUGGGGAGCAAACAGG